CCAUCGACCAGACACUUGCUGCCCUCUGACUAGAAGAGAUUAGUAACCUUUAAGCCUUCUGUUCCAGCAAUCCCAGAAAGUCAAGUUCUCCUGGGCUUCUGUCCAUGCAGCCAAUGACAAAAGCACUCAUAAGGAACUUUGUCAAAUACCAAAUCAAGCAUCAAGAUGAAAACAGAACAUGCAAUCAUCAGUCCCACGUGCUCCAUUUACUGUGCGGAUGUGAGAGGCAGCUGUCAGGAAGCCAGAAGAAUAUUGGUCACGCGCAUGUUGAGCAGCAGUAACCUGUGAAAACGCAAGUGUAUCCGGAACUUGAGCUACCACAUUCAAAAGCAAUGAGGAAAAUAGACCUGCUGCACCACCAAGUGGGGUCGACACUGACUGUACAGCUGAAUGGAUGCAGGGUCGCCUGAGAGACAAACCACUGGACGCCUCUAUGAGAGAUUAUGUUGACUGACUUUGCCGACAAGCAUGUCUAUGUGGAAUCAUCCAGUCUAGGUUAAUUGGGGUGGGAAGACCCACUCUGAAUGGGGAAAAUUCUCUAGGUGCUGGAGUCCUGAAUUGUGAGCAAAGGAGAAAGUGAGCUGAGCAGGAUUCAUUGUUCUCUGGUUCCUGAUUGAAGACACAGUGUGAGCUUCAACCUUACAGUCCUAUCUCCUCAGCUUCACGCCUUCACAGACUUCCUGUCAAACUAUCAGACAAAGUAAGCCCCCUUUCCUUAAACUGCUCUUGUCAGGGCAUUUUACAAUAGCGAUAAGAUAGUAAGUAAUGCACCAACGUGUCUAAUAGUACUACCACCCACUUGUACUCAACAACGCCCGGUUUUUCUAUUGGAUACAUGAUAGGCAAUCCACUUAUGGCAAACCACAUAGAACUGCAGCCUUCCUGCUGAAAUCUUCACGUAAUCCAGCGUGGAGAUAAAGCUCUAACCAUAUUCUGUGAAGCAGUUAGCAGUGCAGAGAAGUCUGAAGAUCUGAAGCACUGUGGAAGCCACUCCCAGAGAAUUUGUUACACAUGGGUAAACAAUUUGGCAGUCAAUUACAGGACUUCUCAAAUAUUCUGAAGAUCUUCUAUGAAACCUGUUUUAAAAUCUGUUAGAAAAGAUAUGAUUGAAUGAAAACUUACAUUUUCAGAAAGAUAUGAGUGAUAGGAAAUAUGAUCACUGUUUUUAGAUAGAUGAAAUACUGUCAUUUAAAAAAGACAAUAGGCCUGUCGCUAUGGCUCCUGAGUGAAAUCACAAAGGCAGCUCAUUAUGAUAAACCGAGAGGUAGAUGUUUUGAAAAGAGGUUUCAGACGAUGAGUUCAGUCUCUUUAAAGUGGUAGUAGGCUCACUGUUGGAAGAGGUACUUAAAGAAUGGGAUGCAUUGUUAGAAUGCUACAGAUUGAAUUGUCUAUAACAAUCUGACAUUUUUGUGAAAAACAAAUGAAAAACCUCCUAUAAGUACAAUUUAUGUAGCUAUGAAAAUCUUCAAUGUUGCAAUCUCUGAAAUCCCCAGAACAUAAUAACAAUAGCAGCAUUAAAUAAUAAUAUUAGAUGAAACAGAAAAAAAAGUGGGAAAAUGUGGCCGUUGGAGUAAAAAAUAUGACUGAUGUUACCCAAGUGUUAGGAUUACAAAAUAUGUGAAGGUUCUUUCAGGCAGUUACAACAAAUACAAAAGUGAACUCUGAGGAAUGUGAAAUCAUAACCCAUUAUAUAAUGCAAACACAUGAUGAUUACAUUAAACAAAACACUGGUUUAACUGGUGGCUGAUUUCUCAAUGCAAAAAAGAGAUUAGAAGAUGAAACACCAUUUGUAAGGAUAAGUCUUCAUUGCCAAGUUGUUUGGUAGCAGAAGAACCUCUGGGAGAGUUUGCAGAGCCUGACAUACAGUAAAUGUGAAUGCACUGUGCAGUGCCCUGGGUCCUGGACAAACAGGAAAGGAAUGACAGAGAAGGGAUUGAGUAGUAACAUUCAUCACUCUCCUUCCAAAAGAGAGGCUGCCUCACUCCUUUCUGCCACAGUGAGAGUCGCUUCAGCCUCCAUGCCUCUCGUACUUUAAGUUGCUUCUUUUCAUUUAUUUUUUAUUCACUUUUUAUCCUGGUUGUAGCUCCAUCCCUUCUCCUCUCCCAAUAUCAUUCUCCCUCCUUCUCUCCACCUCCCAUUUUCCUCUUAAAGGGGUGGUCCCUUUCCCACCCAUCCCAGCUCAUCAAGUCACAUCAGGACUGAGGAUGUCUUCUUUCCCUGUGGCCUGGCAAGGCAGUCUUCCAGUGGAAAAGUGAUCAAAAAGCUGAUAAAACAGGGCCAGACUAAAGGGGAGAAGGUCCUCCCCAAUCUGUGGACUUGGAAAGGGGCAGGGAGAAACUGAGGGAGGGAGGGUGGGAUUGCGAGGGAAUAAUGGAGCGGGAUACAGCUGGGAUACAGAGUUAAUAAAAUGUAACUAACAAUAACAAACAAACAAAUAAGCUGGCAAGUUAAUUCAUGUCAGAUAGAGACAGUGACUUAUACUUCAUGUUCUAAGGGAGAUACAACAUAUUCAAACAACAAUCUUAUAUAAGACAAAUAUAUGGGUGCAAAAUCAAGGAAGCAGGCAGAAGCACCAUGUAGGCCAGAGAGAAACUGAGGGCCAGUCUGUCCUGGGUGGCAGAGGCUAGGAAGGAAAUCCACCUGUCAAGGUUUAGUGAAAGUCCAGAAAGAGAUCCUGGCAGUAGAAGGUUCAGGGUUCGGCCUCUGUAGCCAAGCAGGGUAAGAGUGUCCUAUGAUGUUUAAGGUUCAAAAACCAUCCAGGCCUAGACAGACAUGUCAUGUCAGAAGUGCCCUGGCAACCUGAGCUCCUGAAAUCCUGAGGGUGACUCCUUUGGAGAACCGCAUUACAUGGCAGUGUUAGUGGGGCCAUGUGCAGCAGAAACCUAAAACAAGAGCUAGAGAAGGCUGAAGGCCACUCCAGUCUACUUAGCAAGGACAUGGCAAUUCACAGAAGAUGAUCUUUGUUCUUAUAGGGACAGACACAAGAAGAUUUGAAAGAUCAGUUGCUUAAACCAGGAAAUAUCAUUGAUUGUACACUAAAAGAUAUGGAGCCCUUCAAUGAAGAUUCAAGAGAGUUUGGAUUUAUCCUCUCCACUAAUACUGUAAAUGUGGGAAAGUCCAAAACUAUGAGGAUGGGCUCACGGCCAGGCCAUUCACUCUAAAUUGGCCAUGACUAUGAAGAAAGAUUCUGUGAAGAAAAUCCUUCCUGGGGGAUCUGAAUCUUUUUUUUUUAAUUAUACUUUAUUUGCUUUGUAUCUCCCCUCUAGUUCCCUCCCUCCUCCCCUCCUAGUCCUUCCCUUCCUCCCCCUUCUCCACACACUCCCCUCCCCAAGCCCACUGGUAGGGGAGGGUUUCUAUUUCUUCCUUCUGAUCCUAGUCUGUUAGGUCUCAUCAAAAGUGGCUGCAUUGUCCUCUACUAUGGCAGGGUAAGGUUGCUCACCCCCAGGGGGAGGUGAUCAAAGAGCAGGCCAGUCAGAUUAUGUCAGAGGCAGUCCCUCUUCCCAUUACUAUGUAACCCACUUGGACACUAAACUGCCAUGGGCUACAUCUGUGUAGGAGUUCUAGGUUAUCUCCAUGCCUGGUACUUGCUUGGAGUAUGAGUCUCAGGGAAGACCCCUGUGCUCAAAUUUUUUGGUUCUGUUGCUCUCCUUCUCAACCUCCUGUCCUCUCCAGAUCUAACUAUUAUUUCCCACUUCUUUCAUAAGAUUCCCUGCAUUCUGCCCAACGUUUGGCCAUAAGACUCAACAUCUGCUUUGAUAGCCUUCAGAGGCCCUCUGUGGGAGGCUGCUAACUUGUUUCCUGUUUUCUUCUUCUUCUGGUAUCCAUCCUCUUUGCUUUUCAGAGUGGGGAUUGAGCAUUUUAGCCAGAGUCCUCCCUCUUGAUUAGUAUCUUUAGGUGCACAGAUUUUAAUAGGUUUUUCCUAUAUUAUAUGUUUAUAUGAGUGAGUAUAUACCAUGUGUGUCUUUUUGCUUCUGGGAUAGCUCACUCAGGAUGAUCCUUUCCAGAUCCUACCAUUCACCUGCAAAUUUCAUGAUUUCCUUGUUUUUCAUUGCUGAAUAAUAUUCCGUUGUGUAGAUGUACCACAAUUUCUGUAUCCAUUUUUCAGUUGAAGGGCAUGUGGGUUGUUUCCAGCUUCUGGCUAUUACAAAUA
This is a long non-coding RNA of Meriones unguiculatus (Mongolian gerbil), 4150 nucleotides long. RefSeq lists it as uncharacterized. The record is from RefSeq and is a predicted model, not a curated record. Lineage: Eukaryota; Metazoa; Chordata; Mammalia; Rodentia; Muridae. The transcript is spliced from 3 exons.